RNAcentral lists this non-coding RNA (157 nucleotides) under unclassified sequences. RNAcentral's name for it is "IS605-orfB-II RNA". It matches the Rfam family "IS605-orfB-II RNA". The record is from Rfam by way of RNAcentral.
CAUGAUUAGAUUAGAUUAGUUUAUCUAGGAUUGUUUAGAGGGUAGCCGCAGUCGCCCCAACUCUGACUUGCAAAGCAUUUUUUUGUUUUGUAAGUAGGGCGAGAAACAACAAGCAUUUUGUUGGAAACUUUAAUUUUUUAAUAAAUUAGAGAACUGU